RNAcentral lists this ribosomal RNA (450 nucleotides) under uncultured bacterium. RNAcentral describes it as "partial 16S ribosomal RNA". It matches the Rfam family "Bacterial small subunit ribosomal RNA", at positions 338 to 795 of the family's 1533-position model. The record is from RNAcentral.
CCUACGGGUGGCUGCAGUGAGGAAUAUUGGUCAAUGGGCGCAAGCCUGAACCAGCCAUCCCGCGUGAAGGAAGAAUGCGCUAUGCGUUGUAAACUUCUUUUCCAGGGGAAUAAAAUUUCGUACGAGUACGGGACUGAAGGUACCUUGGGAAUAAGCAUCGGCUAACUCCGUGCCAGCAGCCGCGGUAAUACGGAGGAUGCGGGCGUUAUCCGGAUUAAUUGGGUUUAAAGGGGACAAAGACGGAAGUGGUGAAAACCUUCAGCUUAACUGGAGACUUGCCAUUGAUACUGUUAUUCUUGAGUAUAGUUAAGGUAGGCGGAAUGUGUAAUGUAGCGGUGAAAUGCUUAGAUAUUACACAGAACACCGAUUGCGAAGGCAGCUUACUGAGCUAUAACUGACGCUGAUGCACGAAAGCGUGGGGAGCGAACAGGAUUAGAUACCCCUGUAGUC